RNAcentral lists this transfer RNA (72 nucleotides) under bacterium 1XD8-76. It matches the Rfam family "tRNA". From Rfam's summary of the family: Transfer RNA (tRNA) molecules are approximately 80 nucleotides in length. Their secondary structure includes four short double-helical elements and three loops (D, anti-codon, and T loops). RNAcentral also lists the same sequence under 1 other name. The record is from Rfam by way of RNAcentral.
UGGGCAUUCGCCAAGCGGCAAGGCACGACACUUUGAAUGUUGUAUACACUGGUUCGAAUCCAGUAUGCCCAG